UAAAUAAUUAUGAUCAAGAAAAGUCAAGAGCGGAAAAGGCUAAUGAAUGAAACCCCAAAAAGCUAGCGUAGUGUCAAGGAGGAUUAGUCACUUUAAAUACCAUUGAGUAUCAUACCAUCCCCUAGACUACAUUAUAAGCCUAAGAGAAGUCCUAUAGUGAUCCUAACUGACCUAUCUGAAGAUCUGGGUAAUGAAAAUAAGGAAAAGCCUAUGGUACUUGGCAUUCAC
This 228-nucleotide long non-coding RNA is filed under the name Capsicum annuum. RNAcentral describes it as "long non-coding RNA (CANN_LNC005248)". Lineage: Eukaryota; Viridiplantae; Streptophyta; Magnoliopsida; Solanales; Solanaceae. The record is from RNAcentral.